Molecule: transfer RNA, 73 nt
Filed under: bacterium
Lineage: Bacteria
Also listed under: 2 other names
Description: tRNA-Ala
Rfam family: tRNA
About the family: Transfer RNA (tRNA) molecules are approximately 80 nucleotides in length. Their secondary structure includes four short double-helical elements and three loops (D, anti-codon, and T loops).
Source: RNAcentral
GGGGAUGUAGUUCAGUUGGGAGAACGCCUGCUUUGCAAGCAGGAGGUCGCCGGUUCGACCCCGGCCAUCUCCA